Molecule: ribosomal RNA, 361 nt
Filed under: uncultured Thermus sp.
Lineage: Bacteria; Thermotogati; Deinococcota; Deinococci; Thermales; Thermaceae
Description: bacterial SSU rRNA
Rfam family: Bacterial small subunit ribosomal RNA
Source: RNAcentral
AGGGAGGCCCUAGCACAGGUGCUGCAUGGCCGUCGUCAGCUCGUGCCGUGAGGUGUUGGGUUAAGUCCCGCAACGAGCGCAACCCCCGCCGUUAGUUGCCAGCGGUUCGGCCGGGCACUCUAACGGGACUGCCCGCGAAAGCGGGAGGAAGAGGGGACGACGUCUGGUCAGCAUGGCCCUUACGGCCUGGGCGACACACGUGCUACAAUGCCCACUACAAAGCGAUGCCACCCGGCAACGGGGAGCUAAUCGCAAAAAGGUGGGCCCAGUUCGGAUUGGGGUCUGCAACCCGACCCCAUGAAGCCGGAAUCGCUAGUAAUCGCGGAUCAGCCAUGCCGCGGUGAAUACGUUCCCGGGCCUU